AGCGGCGGACGGGUGAGUAAUGCCUAGGAAUCUGCCUGGUAGUGGGGGACAACGUUUGGAAAGGAACGCUAAUACCGCAUACGUCCUACGGGAGAAAGCAGGGGACCUUCGGGCCUUGCGCUAUCAGAUGAGCCUAGGUCGGAUUAGAUAGUUGGUGAGGUAAUGGCUCACCAAGGCGACGAUCCGUAACUGGUCUGAGAGGAUGAUCAGUCACACUGGAACUGAGACACGGUCCAGACUCCUACGGGAGGCACGCAGUGUGGGAAUAUUGGACAACGGGCGAAAGCCUGAUCCAAGCCAUGCCGCCUGUGUGAAGAAGGUCUUCGGAUUGUAAAG
This 336-nucleotide ribosomal RNA is filed under the name Microbacterium sp. RKVR42. RNAcentral describes it as "bacterial SSU rRNA". It matches the Rfam family "Bacterial small subunit ribosomal RNA", at positions 94 to 430 of the family's 1533-position model. The record is from RNAcentral. Lineage: Bacteria; Bacillati; Actinomycetota; Actinomycetes; Micrococcales; Microbacteriaceae.